CCUACGGGAGGCAGCAGUGGGGAAUAUUGCACAAUGGGGGAAACCCUGAUGCAGCGACGCCGCGUGAGUGAAGAAGUAUUUCGGUACGUAAAGCUCUAUCAGCAGGGAAGAAAAUGACGGUACCUGACUAAGAAGCCCCGGCUAACUACGUGCCAGCAGCCGCGGUAAUACGUAGGGGGCAAGCGUUAUCCGGAUUUACUGGGUGUAAAGGGAGCAUAGACGGCAGCGCAAGUCUGGAGUGAAAUCCCAUGGCUUAACCAUGGAACUGCUUUGGAAACUGUACAGCUAGAGUGCAGGAGAGGUAAGCGGAAUUCCUAGUGUAGCGGUGAAAUGCGUAGAUAUUAGGAGGAACACCAGUGGCGAAGGCGGCUUACUGGACUGUAACUGACGUUGAGGCUCGAAAGCGUGGGGAGCAAACAGGAUUAGAUACCCCUGUAGUC
This 440-nucleotide ribosomal RNA is filed under the name uncultured bacterium. RNAcentral describes it as "partial 16S ribosomal RNA". It matches the Rfam family "Bacterial small subunit ribosomal RNA", at positions 338 to 795 of the family's 1533-position model. The record is from RNAcentral.